GGACUACCCGGGUUUCUAAUCCUGUUUGCUACCCACGCUUUCGUGCCUCAGCGUCAGUCGUGGUCCAGUAAGCUGUCUACACCACAGGUGUUCCUCCUGAUAUCUACGCAUUUCACCGCUACACCAGGAAUUCCGCUUACCUCUCCCACACUCAAGCACCCCAGUUUUCGGCGCACCCUCCCAGUUGAGCCGGGAGAUUUCACACCAAACUUAGGGCACCGCCUACGCACUCUUUACGCCCAGUAAUUCCGAACAACGCUCGCUGCCUACGUAUUACCGCGGCUGCUGGCAC
Molecule: ribosomal RNA, 292 nt
Filed under: uncultured Acidobacteriota bacterium
Lineage: Bacteria; Pseudomonadati; Acidobacteriota
Description: uncultured Acidobacteria bacterium partial 16S ribosomal RNA
Source: RNAcentral